This 895-nucleotide ribosomal RNA is filed under the name Cuora yunnanensis (Yunnan box turtle). RNAcentral describes it as "partial 12S ribosomal RNA". It matches the Rfam family "Bacterial small subunit ribosomal RNA", at positions 302 to 1527 of the family's 1533-position model. The record is from RNAcentral. Lineage: Eukaryota; Metazoa; Chordata; Testudines; Geoemydidae.
GAAUAGCCACUUACUUCUCGUCAAACCCCUAAAUCCGAGAGCAACUAAACUGUGACAGCCCAAAACACCUAGCUUUGCCACACCCCCAAGGGUAUUUCAGCAGUGAUAAAAAUUAAGCAAUAAGCAUAAGCUUGACUUAGUUACAGCAAACAGAGUUGGUCAAUCUUGUGCCAGCCACCGCGGUUAUACAAGAAACUCAAAUUAACAAAAAAUCGGCGUAAAAUGUGAAUAAAAUACAAUCUAAAAAAUUAAGGUAAACCCCCACUCAACUGUCAUACGUAAAAGUAUACAUUACCCCAAUAUGAAAAUAACCUUAAUGUGGUAGAAUUAUUUGAACCCACGAUCGCUAAGACACAAACUGGGAUUAGAUACCCCACUAUGCUUGGCCCUAAACUUAGAUAUUUAACGCACAAAAAUAUCCGCCAGAGAACUACGAGCAAAACGCUUAAAACUCUAAGGACUUGGCGGUACCUCAAACCCUCCUAGAGGAGCCUGUUCUAUAAUCGAUAAUCCACGAUCCACCUCACCAUCUCUUGCCAACCCCGCCUAUAUACCACCGUCACCAGCCUACCCCAUGAGGGCCAUAAAAGUAGGCAAAAUAACUAAAAACAGUUAACAAGUCAGGUCAAGGUGUAGCUCAUUGAGAUGGAAGAAAUGGGCUACAUUUUCUAUACUAGAAAUUAAUUCACGGAAAGGAACUAUGAAAUAAGUCUCACAAGUAGGAUUUAGCAGUAAGCUGGGAUCAGAGCGCCCAACUUAAGUCGGUCCUGAGGUGCGCACACACCGCCCGUCACCCUCCUCAAAUAACUCAACAACAUAAAUAAACCUACAACAAACAAACAGAUGAGGCAAGUCGUAACAAGGUAAGUACACCGGAAGGUGUACUUGGAACACC